GUCCUGGCAGUAAACGGUGCACGUUUGGUGUGGGAGGAUUCGACCCCUUCCGUGCCGGAGCUAACGCGUUAAACGUGCCGCCUGGGAAGUACGGUCGCAAGAUUAAAACUCAAAGAAAUUGACGGGGGCCCGCACAAGCGGUGGAGUAUGUGGCUUAAUUCGAUGCAACGCGAAGAACCUUACCAGGGUUUGACAUGCAUCUCUAAGGCGGUUAAAGCCGUCGAGUGUAGCAAUACACAAUUUGCACAGGUGCUGCAUGGCUGUCGU
RNAcentral lists this ribosomal RNA (267 nucleotides) under uncultured bacterium. RNAcentral describes it as "partial 16S ribosomal RNA". It matches the Rfam family "Bacterial small subunit ribosomal RNA", at positions 793 to 1055 of the family's 1533-position model. The record is from RNAcentral.